RNAcentral lists this non-coding RNA (117 nucleotides) under Nomascus leucogenys (northern white-cheeked gibbon). Lineage: Eukaryota; Metazoa; Chordata; Mammalia; Primates; Hylobatidae. The record is from Rfam by way of RNAcentral.
GCCGGGCGUGGUGGCUCACGCCUGUAAUCCCAGCACUUUGGGAGGCCGAGGCGGGUGGAUCACCUGAGGUCAGGAGUUCGAGACCAGCCUGACCAACACGGUGAAAUCCCGUCACUA